Non-coding RNA from Procambarus clarkii (red swamp crayfish), 1628 nucleotides. NCBI's taxonomy places the organism in Eukaryota, Metazoa, Arthropoda, Malacostraca, Decapoda, Cambaridae. The record is from RefSeq and is a predicted model, not a curated record.
AUGUCAGGCCAUUACUUCAGUUUAAAAUUCAACUGGAAAAAAUCCUCAAAAAAAAGAGUUGGGAGAAUUUUGACAUGUCGACGGCUUCCUGUUCCUGUCGAGGUCACUAGAGAUGGUGCUCCUUAUGUAAAUUCAGAUAUUAAAGAAAGCUUCAACGAACGCGUCCUACUCCUAAGGUUUCCCAAGCUCAAGAAACUGUCGUAAUGAGGGCACUAAAAUGUCAUCGUUACGGUGGUUGAAACCAACUUUCGGUGCUUCGUAGCACAGGAAGCACGUAAAACAACGACAUAUUACACUGUCACAGAGUUGGGGCAAGGCUGGGAUCACAUCCGUCGACGUCAACCAGUAAGGACGUCAUACCGACGGGGUGGGAGUGAGUAAUGUCUGCUUCUGCCAGCGCUCGUUACCUCGUCCGGCGACUCUGAUUCCCGCCACGGGACGAGCUGUGGCGCGCUUGUUAAACAACCCUCACGGUUGUUGGCCUCGUUGCUCCUAUAAUAACAAUAUAUACAUGAACGAUUUGUAAUUUAUUUUGUACCUCCUAUCGCCAGAGGAAUUUAAAUUCUUUCCAGGUGUGACGAAUUAACACUUUUCUCACUCCCUUUACCUAACAGAUCCAGAUCCAACAUUCUGUGUGUAACUCAUCCUCUUAUUUAUGUACUUUUACAUGACCAAACAUUUUAUUUUAUUUUAAUUCAAAGAAAUGAGGAUGCAGGUGCGAGCGAGUACGAUAAAGCACUUCACCCUAACUAUAAUCUGACAAGUGUCCGUCCAGCUCCUGCUCAGAGAGGUCGCUUCAUCUAGAGUGUUGUUCUUAGGUUUAACUAAAAUGUGUGUAAUUCUCGGACCUUCACAAAACACAUUGGGGAUCAUUUUAAGUGCUGCAUAUCGAAUAAAUAUUCCUACAUGACAUGGAGGAGAGGAGUGAGAGAGGAUCUUGCGGGAGAAAGUUGCGCGGUAGAUGGGAUGAAACAAAGUUGAGAGAGAAAAGGGGGAGAUUGGGAGAGGCCUGGACGCAGCCGGGGAUAGUCUUUCUCUCUUCUUCCCCCCCCCCAUUCAACCCGUCUUGUCCCUUCUCCCCUGCCCCAUUUUCCUCUUUGUCAAAAGUUGGAAGCCAGACGCUUGGAGCCAGCCUCACCCAAAUAUGCAAGGGGAAUGGUCUGGGGUGGACAUAACCUGGUCAAGGUUGGCCAAAGUUAAAUGCUUUACAUAUUAUUAGUAGCAGUUUAGCUUAGUAAAAGUAUUAUAAACACCCCUAGGUCUCUUCUCUUUGUAUCUGUUUCUCAUUCCUCUGUUCUCUCUGCCUCCAGUCAAUAUCUGAAUUCACUAUUAUUAAAACUACUGAGAAAAUCAGUAAGAGCCAUGAGGAGAAGUUCGGGCCUAUGGUUCCUACUGAUUUUCUCAUUGAUAUAUCAUGUUAAUGGGAGUUCUGUCAAACUUCACGAAGGAAGAGCACUGGGACGACCCUGACCCCCAUCACACACACACAUAUAUACAGUAUACACAGGUCAUUAAACACAGAAUGGCGAGUAUUUGUUUGUUUUUGCAUGCAAAUUGUGCAAGUUGUAAAGAUCAAUUGGUUUAUUUCUCUUUACUAAUAAGAUGUUAUAAUUCUCUUUACUGUAAUA